GACGAACGCUGGCGGCGUGCUUAACACAUGCAAGUCGAACGGUGACCCAGGGCUUGCCCUGGUGAUCAGUGGCGAACGGGUGAGUAACACGUGGGCAACCUGCCCCUGACUUCGGGAUAACUCCUCGAAAGAGGAGCUAAUACCGGAUACGACCACUUCGGACAUCCGAUGGUGGUGGAAAGUUUUUCGGUCAGGGAUGGGCCCGCGGCCUAUCAGCUAGUUGGUGGGGUAAUGGCCUACCAAGGCGACGACGGGUAGCCGGCCUGAGAGGGCGACCGGCCACACUGGGACUGAGACACGGCCCAGACUCCUACGGGAGGCAGCAGUGGGGAAUAUUGCGCAAUGGGCGAAAGCCUGACGCAGCGACGCCGCGUGAGGGAUGAAGGCCUUCGGGUUGUAAACC
Molecule: ribosomal RNA, 403 nt
Filed under: uncultured bacterium
Lineage: Bacteria
Description: bacterial SSU rRNA
Rfam family: Bacterial small subunit ribosomal RNA
Source: RNAcentral